This is a long non-coding RNA of Daphnia pulicaria, 314 nucleotides long. RefSeq lists it as uncharacterized. The transcript has 4 exons. The record is from RefSeq and is a predicted model, not a curated record. NCBI's taxonomy places the organism in Eukaryota, Metazoa, Arthropoda, Branchiopoda, Diplostraca, Daphniidae.
CAGGAUUGAUGAGAGGCAUGAAGAACCAGUCGACGUCAUCGAUGUAUUGCGGAUGAGCUUCGUAGUUUUCCACCAAUUCACGGAUGAUUGUCACCUGCGUCGACGAAAAUGGCGUUCUUCGUUCCGUCUCCUCCGCUGGAUAUUUUCAUCAGAACCAUCUGAAUGUAAAGGUUACGUACUUCACGACCUUCGUAACUUUGGCCAGCGCUGGAAACGCUUACUAAAUUUGGGGUCACGAGGGGUUUAAACGGCUUAAACCAUUUGAGCCACGGCUUCAGCGAUCACUUUGAAAGCCUCCCAAGUCUCGAUCCCCG